UUCCAGCUAGCUCAAAUGGUAAAGAAUCUGCCUGCAAUGCAGGAGACCCAGGUUCAAUCCCUGGGUUGGGAA
Transfer RNA from Ovis aries (sheep), 72 nucleotides. It matches the Rfam family "tRNA". Rfam says of the family: Transfer RNA (tRNA) molecules are approximately 80 nucleotides in length. NCBI's taxonomy places the organism in Eukaryota, Metazoa, Chordata, Mammalia, Artiodactyla, Bovidae. The record is from Rfam.